CCUACGGGAGGCUGCAGUGGGGAAUAUUGGGCAAUGGGCGCAAGCCUGACCCAGCAACGCCGCGUGAAGGAAGAAGGCUUUCGGGUUGUAAACUUCUUUUCUCAGGGACGAAGCAAGUGACGGUACCUGAGGUAUAAGCCACGGCUAACUACGUGCAAGCAGCCGCGGUAAUACGUAGGUGGCAAGCGUUAUCCGGAUUUACUGGGUGUAAAGGGCGUGUAGGCGGGACUGCAAGUCAGAUGUGAAAACUACGGGCUCAACCUGUGUACUGCAUUUGAAACUGUAGUUCUUGAGUACAGGAGAGGUAGACGGAAUUCGUGGUGUAGCGGUGAAAUGCGUAGAUAUUAGGAGGAACACCGGUGGCGAAGGCAGUCUGCUGGACAGCAACUGACGCUGAGGCGCGAAAGCGUGGGGAGCAAACAGGAUUAGAUACCCCUGUAGUC
This 443-nucleotide ribosomal RNA is filed under the name uncultured bacterium. Its description in RNAcentral is "partial 16S ribosomal RNA". It matches the Rfam family "Bacterial small subunit ribosomal RNA", at positions 338 to 795 of the family's 1533-position model. The record is from RNAcentral.